Molecule: ribosomal RNA, 657 nt
Filed under: Cortinarius sp. LM117
Lineage: Eukaryota; Fungi; Basidiomycota; Agaricomycetes; Agaricales; Cortinariaceae
Description: eukaryotic LSU rRNA
Rfam family: 5.8S ribosomal RNA (bases 249-402)
Source: RNAcentral
CAUUAUUGAAAUAAACCUGAUGAGUUGCUGCUGGUUCUCUAGGGAGCAUGUGCACACUUGUCGUCUUUAUAUUUCCACCUUGUGCACCUUUUGUAGACCUGGAUAUCUCUCUGAAUGCACACAAGCAUUUGGGUUUGAGGGGUUGACCUUUUGGUCUCCCUUUAUAUUUCCAGGCCUAUGUUUCUUUCAUAUACCCCACUUGUGUUAUAGAAUGUAAUAAAUGGGCCUUUGUGCCUGUAAAGCUAUACAACUUUCAGCAACGGAUCUCUUGGCUCUCGCAUCGAUGAAGAACGCAGCGAAAUGCGAUAAGUAAUGUGAAUUGCAGAAUUCAGUGAAUCAUCGAAUCUUUGAACGCACCUUGCGCUCCUUGGUAUUCCGAGGAGCAUGCCUGUUUGAGUGUCAUUAAUAUAUCAACCUCCUCAACUUGUGUUGAGUGUUGGAUGUGGGGGGUUCUUUUUUUGCUGGCUUUUACGGUCAGCUCCCCUGAAAUGCAUUAGCGGAACAACCUGUUCACUGUUCAUUGGCGUGAUAACUAUCUACGCUGCUUGUUGACAGUGACGCAAGUUCAGCUUCUAACAGUCCAUUAAAUUGGACAAAUUUUUAUUAAUGUGACCUCAAAUCAGGUAGGACUACCCGCUGAACUUAAGCAUAUCAAUA